Molecule: ribosomal RNA, 462 nt
Filed under: uncultured bacterium
Lineage: Bacteria
Description: partial 16S ribosomal RNA
Rfam family: Bacterial small subunit ribosomal RNA
Source: RNAcentral
GACGAACGCUGGCGGCGUGCUUAACACAUGCAAGUCGAACGGAAAGGCCCUUCGGGGUACUCGAGUGGCGAACGGGUGAGUAACACGUGGGUGAUCUGCCCUGCACUUUGGGAUAAGCCUGGGAAACUGGGUCUAAUACCGAAUAGGACCGCGCGCUUCAUGGUGUGUGGUGGAAAGCUUUUGCGGUGUGGGAUGGGCCCGCGGCCUAUCAGCUUGUUGGUGGGGUAAUGGCCUACCAAGGCGACGACGGGUAGCCGGCCUGAGAGGGUGACCGGCCACACUGGGACUGAGAUACGGCCCAGACUUCUACGGGAGGCAGCAGUGGGGAAUAUUGCACAAUGGGCGCAAGCCUGAUGCAGCGACGCCGCGUGAGGGAUGACGGCCUUCGGGUUGUAAACCUCUUUCACCAGGGACGAAGCGCAAGUGACGGUACCUGGAGAAGAAGCACCGGCCAACUACGUG